RNAcentral lists this ribosomal RNA (253 nucleotides) under uncultured bacterium. RNAcentral's name for it is "partial 16S ribosomal RNA". It matches the Rfam family "Bacterial small subunit ribosomal RNA", at positions 524 to 776 of the family's 1533-position model. The record is from RNAcentral.
UACAGAGGUCUCAAGCGUUGUUCGGAUUCAUUGGGCGUAAAGGGUGCGUAGGUGGCAUGGUAAGUCAGACGUGAAAUCCCCAGGCUUAACCUGGGAACUGCAUCCGAUACUGGAUGGCUUGAAUCCGGGAGAGGGAUGCAGAAUUCCAGGUGUAGCGGUGAAAUGCGUAGAUAUCUGGAGGAAUACCGGUGGCGAAGGCGGCAUCCUGGACCGGCAUUGACGCUGAGGAGCGAAAGCUAGGGGAGCAAACGGG